RNAcentral lists this unclassified non-coding RNA (197 nucleotides) under plant metagenome. Its description in RNAcentral is "partial contains small subunit ribosomal RNA, internal transcribed spacer 1, and 5.8S ribosomal RNA". The record is from RNAcentral.
UCUCCGUUGGUGAACCAGCGGAGGGAUCAUUACCGAGUUUACAACUCCCAAACCCCUGUGAACAUGCCUAUCGUUGCCUCGGCGGUGCCCGCUCCGGCGGCCCGCCAGAGGACCCCCAAACUCUUGUUUUAUACAGUAUCUUCUGAGUAACACGAUUAAAUAAAUCAAAACUUUCAACAACGGAUCUCUUGGUUCUG